This 74-nucleotide transfer RNA is filed under the name Chlorobiaceae bacterium. RNAcentral describes it as "tRNA-Cys". It matches the Rfam family "tRNA". From Rfam's summary of the family: Transfer RNA (tRNA) molecules are approximately 80 nucleotides in length. Their secondary structure includes four short double-helical elements and three loops (D, anti-codon, and T loops). Further hydrogen bonds mediate the characteristic L-shaped molecular structure. tRNAs have two regions of fundamental functional importance: the anti-codon, which is responsible for specific mRNA codon recognition, and the 3' end, to which the tRNAs corresponding amino acid is attached (by aminoacyl-tRNA synthetases). tRNAs cope with the degeneracy of the genetic code in two manners: having more than one tRNA (with a specific anti-codon) for a particular amino acid; and 'wobble' base-pairing, i.e. permitting non-standard base-pairing at the 3rd anti-codon position. Lineage: Bacteria; Pseudomonadati; Chlorobiota; Chlorobiia; Chlorobiales; Chlorobiaceae. The record is from RNAcentral.
GGCGAGGUGGCCGAGUGGCUAGGCAGAGGUCUGCAAAACCUCGUACAGCGGUUCGAAUCCGCUCCUCGCCUCCA